GGAUGUGAGGGUGAUCUGGCUGCAACAUCUAUCACCCAUUGAUCUCCAGGGUUGACUCAGUUGAUCUGGCUGCUAGGUGGUUGUCCCCUUCCUCUCUCAGUACUCCAUGUGCCUCCCUCGCAAAGCUGCACCCCAGGUGGAAGAGGACUACCUUCCCCAAAUCUAAGAGGAGCACUGGUCUUUGGUCAGGGCUUUAUGAGUAGCUGCGCUUCCCUGCUAGAACCUCCAAAUGAGCUCUCAGUGUAUAAACUGAUCAAUAAAACUAGUAAAUGAAGGCAAGAGAGAUAGCUCGGAUAUUAAAGGCCCUUACUUACAAAGCCUGCUAGCUCAGGUA
RNAcentral lists this small nuclear RNA (334 nucleotides) under Jaculus jaculus (lesser Egyptian jerboa). Its description in RNAcentral is "7SK RNA (ENSJJAG00000004683.1)". It matches the Rfam family "7SK RNA". From Rfam's summary of the family: 7SK was discovered as an abundant small nuclear RNA in the mid-70s but a possible function has only recently been suggested. Two independent studies have found that 7SK RNA binds the CDK9/cyclin T complex (known as elongation factor P-TEFb). Lineage: Eukaryota; Metazoa; Chordata; Mammalia; Rodentia; Dipodidae. The record is from Rfam by way of RNAcentral.